This 253-nucleotide ribosomal RNA is filed under the name uncultured bacterium. Its description in RNAcentral is "partial 16S ribosomal RNA". It matches the Rfam family "Bacterial small subunit ribosomal RNA", at positions 524 to 776 of the family's 1533-position model. The record is from RNAcentral.
UACGUAGGGUGCAAGCGUUGUCCGGAUUUAUUGGGCGUAAAGAGCGUGUAGGCGGCCAAGCAGGUCUGCUGUGAAAACUCGAGGCUCAACCUCGAGACGUCGGUGGAAACCGUUUGGCUAGAGUCCGGAAGAGGAGAGUGGAAUUCCCGGUGUAGCGGUGAAAUGCGCAGAUAUCGGGAAGAACACCCGUGGCGAAGGCGGCUCUCUGGGACGGUACUGACGCUGAGACGCGAAAGCGUGGGGAGCGAACAGG